GAUGGACGCUGGCGGCGUGCCUAAUACAUGCAAGUCGAGCGAACGGACGAGAAGCUUGCUUCUCUGAUGUUAGCGGCGGACGGGUGAGUAACACGUGGAUAACCUACCUAUAAGACUGGGAUAACUUCGGGAAACCGGAGCUAAUACCGGAUGAUAUUUUGAACCGCAUGGUUCAAAAGUGAAAGACGGUCUUGCUGUCACUUAUAGAUGGAUCCGCGCUGCAUUAGCUAGUUGGUAAGGUAACGGCUUACCAAGGCAACGAUGCAUAGCCGACCUGAGAGGGUGAUCGGCCACACUGGAACUGAGACACGGUCCAGACUCCUACGGGAGGCAGCAGUAGGGAAUCUUCCGCAAUGGGCGAAAGCCUGACGGAGCAACGCCGCGUGAGUGAUGAAGGUCUUCGGAUCGUAAAACUCUGUUAUUAGGGAAGAACAUAUGUGUAAGUAACUGUGCACAUCUUGACGGUACCUAAUCAGAAAGCCACGGCUAACUACGUGCCAGCAGCCGCGGUAAUACGUAGGUGGCAAGCGUUAUCCGGAAUUAUUGGGCGUAAAGCGCGCGUAGGCGGUUUUUUAAGUCUGAUGUGAAAGCCCACGGCUCAACCGUGGAGGGUCAUUGGAAACUGGAAAACUUGAGUGCAGAAGAGGAAAGUGGAAUUCCAUGUGUAGCGGUGAAAUGCGCAGAGAUAUGGAGGAACACCAGUGGCGAAGGCGACUUUCUGGUCUGUAACUGACGCUGAUGUGCGAAAGCGUGGGGAUCAAACAGGAUUAGAUACCCUGGUAGUCCACGCCGUAAACGAUGAGUGCUAAGUGUUAGGGGGUUUCCGCCCCUUAGUGCUGCAGCUAACGCAUUAAGCACUCCGCCUGGGGAGUACGACCGCAAGGUUGAAACUCAAAGGAAUUGACGGGGACCCGCACAAGCGGUGGAGCAUGUGGUUUAAUUCGAAGCAACGCGAAGAACCUUACCAAAUCUUGACAUCCUUUGACAACUCUAGAGAUAGAGCCUUCCCCUUCGGGGGACAAAGUGACAGGUGGUGCAUGGUUGUCGUCAGCUCGUGUCGUGAGAUGUUGGGUUAAGUCCCGCAACGAGCGCAACCCUUAAGCUUAGUUGCCAUCAUUAAGUUGGGCACUCUAAGUUGACUGCCGGUGACAAACCGGAGGAAGGUGGGGAUGACGUCAAAUCAUCAUGCCCCUUAUGAUUUGGGCUACACACGUGCUACAAUGGACAAUACAAAGGGCAGCGAAACCGCGAGGUCAAGCAAAUCCCAUAAAGUUGUUCUCAGUUCGGAUUGUAGUCUGCAACUCGACUACAUGAAGCUGGAAUCGCUAGUAAUCGUAGAUCAGCAUGCUACGGUGAAUACGUUCCCGGGUCU
This 1372-nucleotide ribosomal RNA is filed under the name uncultured bacterium. Its description in RNAcentral is "bacterial SSU rRNA". It matches the Rfam family "Bacterial small subunit ribosomal RNA", at positions 28 to 1381 of the family's 1533-position model. The record is from RNAcentral.